GACGAACGCUGGCGGCGUGCUUAACACAUGCAAGUCGAACGGAAAGGCCGUGCUUUUGUGGGGUGCUGGAGUGGCGAACGGGGGCGUAACACGUGAGUAACCUGCCCUUGACUUUGGGAUAACUUCAGGAAACUGGGGCUACUACCGGAUAGGAGCUCCUGCUGCAUGGUGGGGGUUGGAAAGUUUCGGCGGUUGGGGUUGGACGCGCGGCUGAGUAGCUUGUUGGUGGGGUAGUGGCCUACCGAGGCGUUUACGGGUAUAUGGCCUGAGAGGGUGAACGGCCACACUGGAACUGAGACACGGUCCAGAAUACUAAGGGAGGAAGCAGUGGGGAAUAUUGGACAAUGGGCGCAAGCCUGAUCCAGCCAUCCCGCGUGAGUGAAGAAGGCAUUGGGGUUGUAGAGCCCUUUUGUUGGGAAAGAAAAGCAGCAGGUUAAUACCCCGCUGUUCUGACGGUACCCAAAGAAUAAGCACCGGCUAACUUCGUG
This 488-nucleotide ribosomal RNA is filed under the name uncultured bacterium. RNAcentral describes it as "partial 16S ribosomal RNA". It matches the Rfam family "Bacterial small subunit ribosomal RNA", at positions 28 to 507 of the family's 1533-position model. The record is from RNAcentral.